This 497-nucleotide ribosomal RNA is filed under the name uncultured bacterium. Its description in RNAcentral is "partial 16S ribosomal RNA". It matches the Rfam family "Bacterial small subunit ribosomal RNA", at positions 28 to 507 of the family's 1533-position model. The record is from RNAcentral.
GAUGAACGCUGGCGGCGUGCCUAAUACAUGCAAGUCGAGCGAACGGACGAGAAGCUUGCUUCUCUGAUGUUAGCGGCGGACGGGUGAGUAACACGUGGAUAACCUACCUAUAAGAAUGGGAUAACUUCGGGAAACCGGAGCUAAUACCGGAUAAUAUUUUGAACCGCAUGGUUCAAAAGUGAAAGACGGUCUUGCUGUCACUUAUAGAUGGAUCCGCGCUGCAUUAGCUAGUUGGUAAGGUAACGGCUUACCAAGGCAACGAUGCAUAGCCGACCUGAGAGGGUGAUCGGCCACACUGGAACUGAGACACGGUCCAGACUCCUACGGGAGGCAGCAGUAGGGAAUCUUCCGCAAUGGGCGAAAGCCUGACGGAGCAACGCCGCGUGAGUGAUGAAGGUCUUCGGAUCGUAAAACUCUGUUAGUAGGGAAGAACAUAUGUGUAAGUAACUGUGCACAUCUUGACGGUACCUAAUCAGAAAGCAACGGCUAACUACGUG